UUAAUUUAUAUGAUGACCUUAUAGUUCAGAUGAAAUCCCUGAUUAUACAUUUCAUGUCUUUCGCUCCUAUCUGAUUAUAAAUUAA
Molecule: small nucleolar RNA, 85 nt
Organism: Aethina tumida (small hive beetle)
Lineage: Eukaryota; Metazoa; Arthropoda; Insecta; Coleoptera; Nitidulidae
Product: small nucleolar RNA snR60/Z15/Z230/Z193/J17
Exons: 1
Source: RefSeq, a predicted model, not a curated record